AGGGCGUUCUGGGUUUCGGGCUGGGGAGCUGGCAGAGGCGCGUCUUACCCCUGUGGUGGGUGUCCCGAGGCCGGCGCGUCUGUGGACAGGCAACGCAGGCCGGAGGGCCUAGGACUCCGGCCUCUGAGAGGCGGGCGGUUGUCCAGGGGAGUCCUUCGUGCCGGCGGGAAGCGCAAGGGUGCCGGAAGCCUGAGGUCCGCCGCCCGGCCACCCCUUCUCGCAUCUUGACUCUGAGAUUUGCUCCGGGUCCGGCGGGGAGACUCGAGGUCGAUCGGGAGUUUGGGUUGAGAAAACGCCCACUGAGCGGUAGCUCUUGUCUCCUUGACAUCUGAGCCCUGGGAAUUAAACUCACGCUACAUAAAACGGUGGGCACCAGACCCCCUUGAGAAUCUGGGGCGGUGAGGGAUGCCCGAAGCUGUCCACUUGGAGGGCGAAAAUUGUAAGCAGUGUUGCAACGAUUUUUAAAAGGUACCCCUAGACCACAAGUUAAGCAUCUGGGGACGUGACAUUGCACCUGGAGGGGACAGGCUGCAGCUCCAGCACUUAGUAGCCAGCGAGGCAGAGCACGCUGUCCUCCACCGACAUAACCCAGCAAAUACUGCUCCUAGGUAAAGCUUUAAGCACCAUCUUGCAGACAAAGCACGGAAACUCUUAAGCAGGAUGACAGACCUGAAGGUCAAUGUUCUCAACCUUGACGUAAAGGUAAAGGUGCAGCUGAUGGAAGACAACAGGGCCAAUAUCUAACUAACUUUGAGCAACGAAACAAAAAAAAAUCGAGGUUUAAGUAUACAAUUGAAAGAUUAUCUCUAGAACAUGAGGUAAUAAACUGUUAGAAAUUCAGAGAGAGGGAAGAGGUGGAGAGGAGUGUUAAAUCCUGAUCUAUUUUAGAAGUGAGUCGACAGAUAAUACCUUACAUUGAUAAUCCAAUGAAUAGUUUCCACAAAUAUGGAGAGAGCUGCCAGAACUAAAAAUGGGAAGCAAUUAAGAGUUUUCCGAGGCUGGACACGGUGGCUCACGCCUGUAAUCCCAGCAUUUUGGGAGGCCGAGGCGGGCGGAUCACCUGAGGUCGAGAGUUCGAGGCCAGCCUGACCAACAUGGAGAAACCCCAUCUCUACUAAAAAUACAAAAUUAGCUGGGCGUGGUGGCGCAUGCCUGUAAUCCCAACUACUUGGAAGGCUGAGGCAGGAGAAUUGCUUGAAACCCGGGAGGUGGAAGUUGCAGUGAGCCGAGAUUGCGCCAUUGCACUCCAGCCUGGGCAAAAACUGCGUCUCAAAAACCAAACAAAAAAAAAAAGUUUUCCUAAGAGGAGGAGUGAUUUGAGGCUGGGGACUUUGGCUUUUUGUUAUAAACCCUUCUGUGAUCUUGCUUUUUUAGUUACUUGCACAUUAAAAAUAAGGGAAAUUGUAGGGAAGGAA
Molecule: long non-coding RNA, 1415 nt
Organism: Homo sapiens (human)
Lineage: Eukaryota; Metazoa; Chordata; Mammalia; Primates; Hominidae
Gene: CDR2-DT
Product: CDR2 divergent transcript
Source: Ensembl